This 301-nucleotide long non-coding RNA is filed under the name Pan troglodytes (chimpanzee). RNAcentral's name for it is "long non-coding RNA NONPTRT005954". The record is from RNAcentral. Lineage: Eukaryota; Metazoa; Chordata; Mammalia; Primates; Hominidae.
GGGAAGCCGAGCAGACGGCCCCAGAACAAGCGGUCAUGUGACUGGGAAGAUGGCCGUCUUUCCUUGGCACUCCAGGAAUAGGAACUACAAAGCUGAAUUUGCAUCAUGCCGACUGGAGGCUGUACCAUUGGAGUUUGGGGACUAUCACCCUCUGAAACCCAUAACUUUGUGAUCCUGAGUCAUGUCCAUUUGUCACAAAAACUAAGCAUCCCCUGCAGAUGGAUAAGUCUCUGCUGCAAAUGAACCAUCCAUUCAACUACCAGAAUGGGAGGAAAGUACCCACUGGAGUGUUUCACUGGGG